RNAcentral lists this ribosomal RNA (376 nucleotides) under uncultured bacterium. Its description in RNAcentral is "bacterial SSU rRNA". It matches the Rfam family "Bacterial small subunit ribosomal RNA", at positions 524 to 898 of the family's 1533-position model. The record is from RNAcentral.
UACGUAGGGGGCGAGCGUUGUCCGGAAUUACUGGGCGUAAAGGGUGCGUAGGCGGCUGUGUAAGUCGGAUGUGAAAUACUCUUGCUUAACGAGAGGGGUGCAUACGAAACUGCAUGGCUUGAGUGUAGGAGAGGGAAGCGGAAUUCCUAGUGUAGCGGUGAAAUGCAUAGAUAUUAGGAGGAACACCAGUGGCGAAGGCGGCUUUCUGGACUACAACUGACGCUGAGGCACGAAAGCGUGGGGAGCAAACAGGAUUAGAUACCCUGGUAGUCCACGCUGUAAACGAUGGAUACUAGGUGUAGGUGGUAUAGAACCCAUCUGUGCCGGAGCAAACGCAAUAAGUAUCCCGCCUGGGGAGUACGGCCGCAAGGUUGAA